GUUUCUCUGUGUAACCUUGGCUGUUCUGGGCUGCUUUGUAGACCAGGCUGGCUGCAAAUGCAAAGAGAUCCCCUUUCCUCCCUGAGUGCUGGGAUCACAGGGCUGUGGAGGGGACGGAAGCAGGAAGCAGCCUGGCAUCAUGUGACACCCGAAGAGACAUGUGCAACAUCUGGGGUUGCACACAGCCGCUAAGUGCGGAAUCCCAAUGUCAAGCCUCCUUGCGCCCCCAUCACUCAGAGCACUCUUCGCCC
Long non-coding RNA from Meriones unguiculatus (Mongolian gerbil), 251 nucleotides. RefSeq lists it as uncharacterized. The transcript has 3 exons. Lineage: Eukaryota; Metazoa; Chordata; Mammalia; Rodentia; Muridae. The record is from RefSeq and is a predicted model, not a curated record.